Nannospalax galili (Upper Galilee mountains blind mole rat) is the source of this 128-nucleotide small nucleolar RNA. Lineage: Eukaryota; Metazoa; Chordata; Mammalia; Rodentia; Spalacidae. The record is from Ensembl.
AGCAUUCACAAAAGUGUUUUUUCAACUGGUGGACAAAGGCAUGAAAUACACGUGCAAUAAUAAGUCCUCCUUUGCGACACAAAUCUCAUCAUUCAGUAUGAGGUUUGCUACACACAAGAAGGAAGAUG